UACUAAAAAUACAAAAAAAUUAGCCGGGCAUGGUGGCAGGUGCCUGUAGUCCCAGCUACUUGGGAGGCUGAAGCAGAAGAAUGGCGUGAACCCGGGAAGCGGAGCUUGCAGUGAGCCGAGAUGGCGCCACUGCACUGCACUCCAGCCUGGUGACAGAGUGAGAAUCCAACUCAAAAAAACAAGUUUUCUUUUGCCUUUGUAUUAAUGAACUAGAAGAGUUCCUAACCUAUUCUGAAUACUAAACCCUUAACAGAUAUAUGACUGGCAAACAUUUUCUCCCUGUUCUGAGUGGCUGUCUUAGUCAGCUCAGGCUGCUGUAACAAAAAUAUCACAGACUGGGCAACUUAAACAGCAAACACUGAUUUCUCACAGUGUAAAGUACUUUUGUUGCAUCUAUUGAGAUGAUUAUGUGGUUGUUGUCCUUCAUUCUAUUAAUAUGAUACAUGACACUGAUUUUCACACGUUGAACCAACUUUGCAUUUCUGGGGGAAAUCCUACUUAGUCCUGACACAUAAUCCUUUCUAUAUUUUGUUUUCUUAGAUUUUCUUCGUUUUCUAAGAUUUUGUUGAAUAUUUUGGCAUCUAUUUUCUCUCAUCUGGAACAAUGGUCUAUGGUUUUCUUGUGAUGUCUUUGUCUGGUUCAAGGUUAUAUCAAAGUUAUACUGGCCUCAUAGAAGGAGGUGGGAUGUAAUCCCUCCUUAACUGUUUUUAGAAGAGUUGGUAUAAAUUUCCCGAAGAGAAGGGAGACUGGUAGAAUUGGUUUGGGCAGCAGGUGUUAAGAUGAUAAGCUCAGAUCUAAAUAUGCCAAGGAGCUGGGCAUGGUGGCUCACACCUGUUAUUCCAACACUUUUGGAGGCCCAGGAGGGAGGAUUGCUUGAGCCCAAGAGAUGGAGACCAGCCUAGACAACGGAGCUAGAACCUAUCUCUACAAAUAAAAAAAUUAGCCAGACACGGAAGCAGGCGCCCGUGGUCCCAGUUACCCAGGAGGCUGAGGCAGGAAGAUCGCCUGAGCCCAGGAGGUCAAGGCUGAAGUGAGCUGUGAUCAUGCCACUGCACUCCCGCCUGGGUGCCAGAGUGAGAUCCCAUCUCUAAAAAUAAUAAUAAUUUUAAUAAUAAUAAUUUUAAUGCCAAAGUGCCUUGCCAAGUGGGUAUGUUUUACAGGCUACUGGAUACAGGGCUCUGGGGUUGGGAAGAUACCUGCCUGGGAGUCAUCAGUAUACACAGAGGGUCCUAUCAGUCCACUAGACCCUGUGAGAGCACCAAGGCAGCGGUGCUCACAGCAACACCCAGGGCCAAGGACUGAGCCCAGGGGGAAACGCGAGGAUGGCGCUCUAGGAGCCCGAGGGGGUGAGCUGUGUUCCAGCCCUGUGAGAGGUCGAGAUGGGCAGCAAGAAUCCAUCAUGGGUCUCAGCAGUGUCUUGGGGUUACCUGGUGCCCUGACUAUAGCACUGUGAUGGGGGUAAAACCAGAUGAGAAGCAAUUCCAGAGACCCCAAGGCAGGGCUGGCUCAGACAGAGGGGACCUGUGGGUCCCGCACACAGUUAACCAGAAGACGGCGCGCGUGCCUCUUCGUGGAUAACCAGGAGACGGCGCGCGUGCCUCUUCGUGGAUAACCAGGAGACGGCGCGCGUGCCUCUUCGUGGAUAACCAGGAGACGGCGCGCGUGCCUCUUCGUGGAUAACCAGGAGACGGCGCGCGUGCCUCUUCGUGGAUAACCAGGAGACGGCGCGCGUGCCUCUUCGUGGAUAACCAGGAGACGGCGCGCGUGCCUCUUCGUGGAUAACCAGGAGACGGCGCGCGUGCCUCUUCGUGGAUAACCAGGAGACGGCGCGCGUGCCUCUUCGUGGAUAACCAGGAGACGGCACUGCCUCUUCAGGUCACAGGGAUGGGGCAGGGGGUCUGGUGCAUGAACAAAGGCUGGCCUUGGGCGGGGCACACAUGACAUAUCUCCAGUAACAGAAAGGAGACAGUGAGCACAAGCAGGCAGGCGACAGACAGGGCCAAGCCGCGAGCAGAGCACAAGGACGGGGCAGGCAUGGGGGGCUCAUGGAGAAGGAGGGGCAUAUGGAACAUGGACUCAAGGAUAAACGUGAGAAACAGAAAUCGAGAAAACCUCCGAGUUCUCGGCU
This 2128-nucleotide long non-coding RNA is filed under the name Pan troglodytes (chimpanzee). RNAcentral's name for it is "long non-coding RNA NONPTRT012882". Lineage: Eukaryota; Metazoa; Chordata; Mammalia; Primates; Hominidae. The record is from RNAcentral.